This 323-nucleotide long non-coding RNA is filed under the name Nicotiana benthamiana. RNAcentral describes it as "long non-coding RNA (NBEN_LNC028054)". Lineage: Eukaryota; Viridiplantae; Streptophyta; Magnoliopsida; Solanales; Solanaceae. The record is from RNAcentral.
AGUAUCAAAAUAAUGAGUUUACUCCCCUUUGCUCCAGGUCUAGAUGCUGCCUUUGUUGGCCCUAAUGAGAAUCACUAUGCAAUUCUAGAUGAGGAUAAGACUGGGUUGUCCUUGUAUAUUUUGCCUGAGCUGCUCUACAAGUGUCAAAAGAAAAGAAUGGCGCCAUUGAUCAAAACCAGCCUACUGAGAGCUGCUCUACAAGUGUUAAAAGAAAAGAAUGGCGCCAUUGAUCAAAACCAGUCUACUGACUCUGAUGUUGGUACCACUAAGGGUCCAAUGCAAUUUAUGUUCGAAACUGAAGUUCAUCGCAUCUUCUCAACUCC